UUAACAGGUUCACACUUGCUGACGUGGGAGUCUGUCUUUUUAUAAACUGUCAGCUGAUUGCCUUCGAGGUACCACUACGUCUUCUUACGUGACAUAACCUAAUGUGUACAUUUCCUCAACACUUUAAAUGCAAAUCAAUCCGAGUCAAUUUUAACACAAGUCUGUAGAAAACGUCAAUUCAUGUGCAAAGUUCUAACGUGAAAAGGAGUAUGGAUGAAACGUCGCUACGUUAAUACUCUUGAAUUUAACUCAAGGUAGCUGCUAAACGUCAGGUGGAUCUACAUUAUAUUUUAAGAGAUGUCAAGGUCACACGGCAUCGGUUUCAGUGCCAAAAUUCCACCUCCGUGGGCCUGAUCCAGGUGUCUAAGAAAGAACUAUAUAUAAGACGUUUAAUUUCACUUUACAUUGAUUUUGUGGCUACCAUACUGCACUCGUUUAAUUUCUAUUUACUCCGUACAACAUAGAAAUGAAUUGAAGUAUAGACAGCAGGCCGAAAAAACGAUUCGGUAGAAUUUCAUAUUCAAUCGGCUUCCUUCGAAUUCGAGUAAACCGAGAAAUUUUAAUGGAAAUAUUAGACCGUUUCAACGAGAAAGUAUUAGCCUUGAUUUCCAAGAACGAUACAUGUCAAUGUCAUGUGACAUCCAUUCCAAAGACAACGAGGCCCUAACUCCUGAUCUGAAAACAAGCGGUGAAGGAUUGUAGAGAAUCAUUUCGGCGAUAAAAAAAGGCGAGGGUCUAACCGAAAUACACUAUAUCUAAAAUAUC
Molecule: long non-coding RNA, 765 nt
Organism: Orussus abietinus
Lineage: Eukaryota; Metazoa; Arthropoda; Insecta; Hymenoptera; Orussidae
Exons: 2
Source: RefSeq, a predicted model, not a curated record